RNAcentral lists this long non-coding RNA (433 nucleotides) under Rattus norvegicus (Norway rat). Its description in RNAcentral is "long non-coding RNA NONRATT014787". Lineage: Eukaryota; Metazoa; Chordata; Mammalia; Rodentia; Muridae. The record is from RNAcentral.
CACAGUCUCACUUUACGUGCUCGGCAGCGUGAGAAGAGCAGUAAUACUUCUUGUGUGCGAUGAAGGUGGACAGACUGCUGAACCUGAUGUUGCACAGGCGGCAGUAGCGGUGGCCGCCACCACCACCCGGUGCAGGAGCGGGCGCAGGCGGGCCCUUGCAGGAUGUCCGAGCGCCUUGAUCGGCCUGGUCAGAAGGCGUGUUCUCGGGAGCAGGGGAAGGAGAGCGCGGUGCGCGGCCGUCUGGGCUGUCGCGCGGAGCACGCUCCGCAGCUGUGCGGGGCUCAGCGCCUGGGCUGGCCGCGGGCUUGGCCACCUGCAGGCCGUGUGCCUGGCGCAAAUGCUCGACCAGCUUACGCGACACGCGGUACACUCGUGGUAGUCGGCCAGCGCGGGCAGAGCAGUAGGUGUAUCCGGGGUCUGGCGACGCGGCCGC